Lytechinus pictus (painted urchin) is the source of this 2443-nucleotide long non-coding RNA. RefSeq lists it as uncharacterized. Lineage: Eukaryota; Metazoa; Echinodermata; Echinoidea; Temnopleuroida; Toxopneustidae. The record is from RefSeq and is a predicted model, not a curated record. The transcript is spliced from 5 exons.
GGAAACUUGUUAAGAAUCAGAGGGUAAGAUUUCUCAGUACACCUGGAAAGACUCUCCCUGGAGUAAUGUUGGUGCUGCACUAAAUCAGAUACAGCAGAACCAGUCAUCAUUAGGUGCCCAGCCUGGUGUAGUAGGUACCCCUACCACUGUCUAUGGUCAAUCUAUGGAAACUUGUUAAGAAUCAGAGGGUAAGAUGUCUCAGUACACCUGGAAAGACUCUCCCUGGAGUAAUGUUGGUGCUGCACUAAAUCAGAUACAGCAGAACCAGUCAUCAUUAGGUGCCCAGCCUGGUGUAGUAGGUACCCCUACCACUGUCUAUGGUCAAUCUAUGGUGAGCAGUAAUGGGUUAACAGGAGCUACAACAUUAUACUCUACUCCACAGCAAACCAUGCAACAAAGACAAAAUAUUGCCAUACAACAGAAAGAAAUGUACCCAAAUUGUGCUGCAUUCAACCCCGGUGAGGUAAAUGGGUACCAGCAGGAAGUAAUUCCUCAAAAAGCUGUGGGUACCGGCAGGAAGUAAUUCAAAAAGCUGUGUGUACCGGACUCAAUAGGCUAUCUUAGCCGUGGUAUUGUAGGUGCACCUUGAGCACUGAGCAAGGUGGAUACUUGCGCUAUACAAAUCAUAUAUUUAUUUAAAGAGGAUGAAUUCAAAGAGAAGACUAGUAAAUUCUUUUAAGCAAAUCAGACAAUUAGAAAUUUAGAAAUUUUUGAAAGGUCUAAUUACUAUUCGUAAGGAGAUCAUAUUUUUUUAGUAUUUCAUACUUUCUUUUUUAAAUGAUAAUACUGUGUGUUUCAUGCCAUAAAUUUUCCCUAAAAUUGUAUUCAACACAUGUCUAUUGCAAAUAAGUUGAAAUCUGAUUUGUUUUUUCCGCACAGAAUAAUUUGUCCUAAAUCUUUUUUUACAAGGACCCUUUGCAAGAGGAAUUUUAUAUUAGGAAAAAGGGUGGUCUUACUGUGCUUUAUUAGAAAUGGGGACAACAAGUCAGUUUGUAAAUAAAUGCCCUUGAUGUGCAUAUAAGAUACGCUUACACUGUUCAUACAAUAUCUAACCCAUCUAUUUGGAUUACACAUAUAUACUGCUUGUCCCUGCACUAAAUUCAUGUGGUUGAAAAUUAUUGUAGUUAAAAUUAGACUGAUAAUUUGCACAAAUUCCUGUUAUUCAACCUCCCCUGCACAAAUGAAGAUUAAUGAAUAAAUCAUACUUUGAAUUUAUGAUUAUUGAUAAGAUAUUUUAAGAUGCAUAUUUAUUAAAUAGAUAUGACAUUGAAAUAGAAUUGUGGUACUUUAAUGGAAUAUCAUAGAAUAUGUAAACCAUAAUGAAUAAUAGAAAUCUAUACAAUUGUACACACAUGAGCAUACCUUCUGUUAUUCAUUAUAAAAAUUCAAUGGAUGAAGUUUGUCUUGCAUUAAAAUAAAUUAUCUGAAUUUAUAGAUAAAAUCAUUAGACCUCUAUCUAUGGUUUAUUCCCCCUUUUUGACUAAUUAUACAUGUAAAAUAUAGUCUAAUGUCAAAUCUCUAUUAUAGAUUAUAGAUAAACAUUUAGUUUUGUUUUGGAAGAGGUCAAAGCCAGACAAACCCAUGGCAUAUUUAUAUUCACAUGUCUUAUAAAUCCUUAGCCAUUCCAAUAUUUGUGGAUAGUUAAGUGGUGUGUAUGGGGUUUUUGGCUUUCCAUAUACAGUGCAUCCAAAAACAAAACAAAAACACUUUUGAAAUGGCUGCCAUAUAAAAUAUAUAUUACUUUGGGGAGAAAGACUUGUAUGUAUGGAAAGCCAAUAAAGUCAACUUUCAAAUGACACCCAAAAGUUGGAAAACUAUUCAUGCUUGAGCGAGCACUGCCCACUGAAACAAAGGAUGUGGAAAUUAAAUGCAUGAGUGUUAAUAGACUGCAAUUUUUGUGCAGCACUUUGACUUUAUCAUGUGGAUCUCAGUAAUGUGUUCAUGAGAGUCAGGAGAGUCGGGGGGGGGGGGUAAGAUAGGACUUAAGUAGGUGAUGUAUGUUAAUGGGAUAAAGGUCAACAGAACAUUUGGCAACCCCUCCCCUCAUUUUUACCACCCGGGGGGGGGGGGGGGGCACUCAGUAUAUAAUGCAUAGUGGGUAUGUGCCGCGGAGGGGACCCCCAUUUUUACACUCAAAUUUCCGUUCCAAGGCAUAGCAUUUUUGUCUUAUUGAGAAAAAGAACAUAGAAAGCCGCUCCAAAGCAUAGCAUUAUCUUCUCAUUGAGAAAAAAAGAAGAAAUGUAUGUUGAUACAUGUAGUUAAGUGGUGUGUAUGGGUUUGUUUGUUUUUUGCUUUCUGUAUUGUUACACAGAGUGCUACAUGUAUAUUUGUGAUUAUGUGUUGAUUAUAAAAGAAUAUGUUCAAAGUGAUUUGAAUUCAGCUACAUUUAUAUGGUUUAAAUGAGAAUUAAUGUGCAAUAAAAUUUAUUUAUAUGUACCAAAUU